CAUUAUACAGCAGCUGAAAAGGGAAGAAGAGAAAAAUUGGACAAAAGAAGAGAGAAAAAACAGAAAAGAAUAAUACACACCAAGGUCAAUGUAGACCAAGGUGAGCUAAUAAGGAAAAGUUUAAUUCCUUCUUUUUGAGAAGUAACAUGAAAGAGAGUUCUGACAGUAAUUCUGCUAAUUCAUCUUCAAAAGAAUCUAUUACCACAGAUUGAUGUGAGCACUCAAUCAUGGUCAAUGUAAACCAAGAUCUGCAAUUCAUCUGGAUAAAUUUAUUUCUUCAUUUGUGUUGUCAUGUGAAGGAAAGUAUUAGGAAUCAUUCAGUCUCUCAUCCUCAAGAGCCAGUGGUAUUUCUCACAAAGUAAGCAUUUUGCCUGAACAUACUUAUAUUCCUUGUAGAAACCACAAAGCU
RNAcentral lists this long non-coding RNA (409 nucleotides) under Ictidomys tridecemlineatus (thirteen-lined ground squirrel). Its description in RNAcentral is "lncRNA (ENSSTOG00000033695.1)". The record is from RNAcentral. Lineage: Eukaryota; Metazoa; Chordata; Mammalia; Rodentia; Sciuridae.